AGGACUACAGGGGUUUCUAAUCCCGUUUGCUCCCCUGGCUUUCGCUCCUCAGCGUCAAUGCCGGUCCAGGAUGCCGCCUUCGCCACCGGUAUUCCUCCAGAUAUCUACGCAUUUCACCGCUACACCUGGAAUUCUGCAUCCCUCUCCCGGAUUCAAGCCAUCCAGUAUCAGACGCAGUUCCCAGGUUGAGCCUGGGGAUUUCACGUCUGACUUAGUUGGCCGCCUACGAGCCCUUUACGCCCAGUAAUUCCGAACAACGCUUGCCCCCCCCGUAUUACCGCGGCUGCUGACAC
Molecule: unclassified non-coding RNA, 293 nt
Filed under: uncultured fungus
Lineage: Eukaryota; Fungi
Description: sequence contains ITS1
Source: RNAcentral